Molecule: transfer RNA, 69 nt
Filed under: Sphaerodactylus townsendi
Lineage: Eukaryota; Metazoa; Chordata; Lepidosauria; Squamata; Sphaerodactylidae
Description: tRNA-Ala
Rfam family: tRNA
About the family: Transfer RNA (tRNA) molecules are approximately 80 nucleotides in length. Their secondary structure includes four short double-helical elements and three loops (D, anti-codon, and T loops).
Source: RNAcentral
GCUAUGGCUCAGUGAAGGAGCCUCUGCUUUGCAUGCAGAAGGUCCCAGGUUCAAUCCCUGGCACCUACA